RNAcentral lists this ribosomal RNA (1549 nucleotides) under Bacillus subtilis. Its description in RNAcentral is "bacterial SSU rRNA". It matches the Rfam family "Bacterial small subunit ribosomal RNA". Lineage: Bacteria; Bacillati; Bacillota; Bacilli; Caryophanales; Bacillaceae. The record is from RNAcentral.
UUAUCGGAGAGUUUGAUCCUGGCUCAGGACGAACGCUGGCGGCGUGCCUAAUACAUGCAAGUCGAGCGGACAGAUGGGAGCUUGCUCCCUGAUGUUAGCGGCGGACGGGUGAGUAACACGUGGGUAACCUGCCUGUAAGACUGGGAUAACUCCGGGAAACCGGGGCUAAUACCGGAUGGUUGUUUGAACCGCAUGGUUCAAACAUAAAAGGUGGCUUCGGCUACCACUUACAGAUGGACCCGCGGCGCAUUAGCUAGUUGGUGAGGUAACGGCUCACCAAGGCGACGAUGCGUAGCCGACCUGAGAGGGUGAUCGAGCACACUGGGACUGAGACACUACCAGACUCCUACGGGAGGCAGCAGUAGGGAAUCUUCCGCAAUGGACGAAAGUCUGACGGAGCAACGCCGCGUGAGUGAUGAAGGUUUUCGGAUCGUAAAGCUCUGUUGUUAGGGAAGAACAAGUACCGUUCGAAUAGGGCGGUACCUUGACGGUACCUAACCAGAAAGCCACGGCUAACUACGUGCCAGCAGCCGCGGUAAUACGUAGGUGGCAAGCGUUGUCCGGAAUUAUUGGGCGUAAAGGGCUCGCAGGCGGUUUCUUAAGUCUGAUGUGAAAGCCCCCGGCUCAACCGGGGAGGGUCAUUGGAAACUGGGGAACUUGAGUGCAGAAGAGGAGAGUGGAAUUCCACGUGUAGCGGUGAAAUGCGUAGAGAUGUGGAGGAACACCAGUGGCGAAGGCGACUCUCUGGUCUGUAACUGACGCUGAGGAGCGAAAGCGUGGGGAGCGAACAGGAUUAGAUACCCUGGUAGUCCACGCCGUAAACGAUGAGUGCUAAGUGUUAGGGGGUUUCCGCCCCUUAGUGCUGCAGCUAACGCAUUAAGCACUCCGCCUGGGGAGUACGGUCGCAAGACUGAAACUCAAAGGAAUUGACGGGGGACCGCACAAGCGGUGGAGCAUGUGGUUUAAUUCGAAGCAACGCGAAGAACCUUACCAGGUCUUGACAUCCUCUGACAAUCCUAGAGAUAGGACGUCCCCUUCGGGGGCAGAGUGACAGGUGGUGCAUGGUUGUCGUCAGCUCGUGUCGUGAGAUGUUGGGUUAAGUCCCGCAACGAGCGCAACCCUUGAUCUUAGUUGCCAGCAUUCAGUUGGGCACUCUAAGGUGACUGCCGGUGACAAACCGGAGGAAGGUGGGGAUGACGUCAAAUCAUCAUGCCCCUUAUGACCUGGGCUACACACGUGCUACAAUGGACAGAACAAAGGGCAGCGAAACCGCGAGGUUAAGCCAAUCCCACAAAUCUGUUCUCAGUUCGGAUCGCAGUCUGCAACUCGACUGCGUGAAGCUGGAAUCGCUAGUAAUCGCGGAUCAGCAUGCCGCGGUGAAUACGUUCCCGGCCUUUGUACACACCGCCCGUCACACCACGAGAGUUUGUAACACCCGAAGUCGGUGAGGUAACCUUUUAGGAGCCAGCCGCCGAAGGUGGGACAGAUGAUUGGGGUGAAGUCGUAACAAGGUAGCCGUAUCGGAAGGUGCGGCUGGAUCACCUCCUUU